This 329-nucleotide unclassified non-coding RNA is filed under the name soil metagenome. RNAcentral describes it as "partial contains 5.8S ribosomal RNA, internal transcribed spacer 2, and large subunit ribosomal RNA". The stretch from base 1 to 120 matches the Rfam family "5.8S ribosomal RNA", at positions 35 to 154 of the family's 154-position model. The record is from RNAcentral.
GAUGAAGAACGUAGCGAAAUGGGAUAAGUAGUGUGAAUUGCAGAAUUCAGUGAAUCAUCGAAUCUUUGAACGCACAUUGCGCCCCUUGGUAUCCCGAGGGGCAUGCCUGUUCGAGCGUCAUUUCACCACUCAAGCCUGGCUUGGUGUUGGGCGACGUCCCCUUUGGGGACGCGCCUCGAAACGCUCGGCGGCGUGGCACCGGCUUUAAGCGUAGCAGAAUCUUUCGCUUUGGAAGUCGGGGCCCCGUCUGCCGGAAGACCUACUCGCAAGGUUGACCUCGGAUCAGGCAGGGAUACCCGCUGAACUUAAGCAUAUCAAUAAGCGGAGGA